GCUCUAGAAAACGAGACAAUGGUUUCCUACAAGCUGUCUAGAAAGACGUUGGCGAUGUCCGUGGUGGUGCUGGUUGCUGUACUUGGGAUGACUGUCCCGGUGAACGCCCAGGACAGCUCGACCACCACCACCACCAGUACGACUACGACCACGACGCGGAGACCGGCCGCUGUAGAUGUCGGCUUGGGAGGCACCGUUGGAGGUGUGGGAGACACACUUGGGAACACCCUGGGAGGCGGUGUGUUACACGUCAGCCGCGCUGGAAGGGCUCCAGCAAUUUCAUCAGUCCACAACCGCAACUAGAAGGCCCGGACGUAGUUACAUACAAAGUUUACAAUAUUACUUUUGUACGUUCAACAGUGAAUAAAUCUCAGAAGAGACGAUGAAUUUC
This is a long non-coding RNA of Schistocerca piceifrons (Central American locust), 391 nucleotides long. RefSeq lists it as uncharacterized. The record is from RefSeq and is a predicted model, not a curated record. The transcript has 2 exons. Lineage: Eukaryota; Metazoa; Arthropoda; Insecta; Orthoptera; Acrididae.